CGUUGCUAGGCGACAUGCCGCCCGGUGGAGCAUGCGCAGAAAGAGGGCCUGCCUGCAAAGAAUCGCUCUCCGAGUCGUGUGCGUGGUGUGGAACCCUUUGCUGUGCCUCGGCGAGCUUGACGAAGAGGUGAUGUCCGACGAUGAAGAUGUCGCAUAUGUCAAGCGACAAAAAGUUGUUCACUAUGGAAGCCUUGAAGAAAAAGAGCGUCAGAGACUGGCAGAUAGAGAAGCUGAAGAUGGUAGUGAUGAUGAUUCACAAAGCAUGGACGUCAAAGCAGCCAUGGCCUCCGGAAACAUUCACAUAUCUGAGGAAUACAUGGAGAUUGAGGAUGAAAGUGGCCGAGACAAACAGCAGCUGCUUGAGGAGUUCGAGAGAAGAAAAAAGGCUCGUCAGAUCAACGUAUCAACUGAUGACACUGAGGUCAAGUCAACUUUGCGCGAUAUGGGAGAACCUAUUUGCCUGUUUGGGGAGGGCCCUGCAGACCGGCGGGAACGCUUGCGUCACCUUUUGGCAUUGGUUGGACAAGAUGCAAUACGGCGCAAGAAGGAAGAAGAACGUGAGAGAGAGCGAGAGCUGCGGAAGGACACAUACGAAACAACUUGGUAUCAUGAAAGUAAUGAGAAGCUGCGCGAGUGCCGUCUUUGGAUAGCACGUUUCUCCUUACCUCGUGCCCGGCACCGUAUCGCCACAGCCAAAGAGAAACUGAAAGCCCAAGGACCUGCUGCAUCAGAUUCACAGCUGCAUGCCAAGCGGCAGGAACUGUACAAGACUCUCAGAUCUUUGAAUAUCAACUGCAGCCAAAUUGGGGAUACACGCCCAAUCUCCUUUUGUGAGUUUAGUCCCAACUCGCAAAUGCUAGCAACAUCUUCCUGGAGUGGGCUGUGCAAGCUGUGGUCGAUCCCAGAGUGCAACCCCAUCAGGACGUUAAGAGGACACAACUGUAAUGUGGGUGCCAUUACAUUCCACCCACGGUCAACUUACCUGCAGUCGGAGAAUGCACUCAACAUGGCCUCUUGCUCUGCUGAUGGCGUUGUCAACUUGUGGAACUUGAAGAGUGAAGAGCCAAUCAGCUCAUUGAGAGGGUUGUGCCCACACAGGGUCUCCAGAGUGGCAUUCCACCCGUCUGGACGCUUCUUAGCAUGCUGUGUAUUUGAUCAUUCUUGGCGCCUAAUAGACUUGGAAACUGAAACAGAGGUGCUACACCAAGAAGGGCACAGCAAAGCUGUUUAUGACAUUAGCUUCCAAUGUGAUGGUUCAUUGGCUGCUACUGGUGGCAUGGAUGCAUUUGGGCGUGUCUGGGACCUCCGUACUGGGCGUUGCAUCAUGUUUCUAGAUGGUCAUCUGAAAUCUGUGCUAAGCCUCUGCUUCUCGCCCAAUGGCUAUGUCCUGGCCACUGGCAGUGAAGACAACACUAUCAAGCUGUGGGACUUAAGGCAAAGAAAGUGUGAAUACACCAUUCCUGCUCAUCACAACCUUGUGUCAAGGGUAAUUUUUGAAAAAUUGUCUGGGGAAUACCUUGUCACAACAUCGUACGACAACACUGUUAAGAUCUGGUCCAAUCCUGAAUGGACUCCAAUACAUAGCCUCAGUGGUCACGAUGGCAAAAUUAUGGGUGCUGACAUUUCACCUAAUGGGAAAUACUUGGCGACAUCAUCCUUUGACCGCACAUUUAAGCUUUGGACUCCAGAAUAAAAUUAUGCCGAUGCUGGUGCUCGCUGCAGGAACGGCCGCCUAAGUGCUGCACUCUAAAAAGAGCCUUGCGGAUUGUGAAGUUCCCUAGCAUAUACAAUUGAAGCAGACCACUUUUUCAAGAACUCCUGCAUACUACCAUUUCUACUUGUAUUUGGAUUAAAGGUGUCAUGUAACGGACCAUAGCAUCAUAAACAACUACCCACUUGACAUUAAGCCUGUUUAAUAUACCAACCUCUAGCACUAGAUAGGCGAGCAACCUAAAUUUCAAUCUCUCUGCCACUCCUGAUGUCAGUGGUCGUGGCAAUUUUAUAGUGUGAAUAUCUGGAAUACAUUGCUACUUAGCACUAAAGUGGCUAAAAAUUUCAAACUUGCAGUUAAAUGCAUUUUAUUGGCAAGGAUAUAAUUCCACAUGUACUACAUUUUUCAUAGUGCUUGUUUCUAUUAUCUCUUAAUCUUUAUCGUGAUGAGCUAUUAAUGUAUGAAAGUAGGGGCUUCCACUUGCUUUAGCUAUUGGCCCAACAGUUUUGUGAUGUAUUGUUUUCAUUUAAAUCAAUAAAAAAAUCUUGUACUACUAAAAAACAGAAGAUGAAACCAGCGAAUUUCACCUUUACAGAAUGGAACUUUAUUUGCCCUAAAUGUCCAACGUCAUCACUCUCAGACAGCAGUUUAUCACUGUCCAUGAACCACAACGUGCUUGUCUGGCCAUGAACCACUACAUUACAUGUUGGACCUUCUGCAUUUAUGAAACGACUCUGCGAUAAUCACAAAUGGGAUGAUAACCCACACCUAGACUAACCACUUUGCUAGUUCAUCCUGCGACCCUGGUGGUUCUCUGGAACACCAAAAACAUGUGACAGGACUUGUUCUGCUAGCUUAGCAUGUAAAAUAACAUUGUUUGAAUGCGCUUUCGUAAUUGAUGAUUGAAAGCGACUCAUUAUUGUUGUCUUAAGCCAUACAAGAACUUUCUCUGUAGCCGACUUGUGAUGGCAAUGGCGAUGACACUGGCUUUGCUGGCUCUGGUAUUAGGCUGUUGUGAUUGCUAACAUGGUUUUCAUUUAGUAUCCAAAUGGCACCGCACAGUCAAUUUUCGGACCAAUCUUGGAAAAGAAGGUACACAAGUGGACUAUCAAGUGCCUUCGACUCGGCCAGUCUCGCAGCCUUCGGGUGACAAUGCAUCUGCCCGGGUUCAAAAAAAAAAAAGAAGAAUCAUCAUUUGUUUAAAAAAUUGCAGCGUUAAAAAGUAUAUCACCGCUUGGCACUGAUAAACUUGAAUUUGCUAUA
Dermacentor andersoni is the source of this 2974-nucleotide RNA transcript. NCBI's taxonomy places the organism in Eukaryota, Metazoa, Arthropoda, Arachnida, Ixodida, Ixodidae. The record is from RefSeq and is a predicted model, not a curated record.